RNAcentral lists this ribosomal RNA (468 nucleotides) under uncultured bacterium. Its description in RNAcentral is "partial 16S ribosomal RNA". It matches the Rfam family "Bacterial small subunit ribosomal RNA", at positions 28 to 507 of the family's 1533-position model. The record is from RNAcentral.
GACGAACGCUGGCGGCGUGCUUAACACAUGCAAGUCGAACGGAAAGGCCCUGCUUUUGUGGGGUGCUCGAGUGGCGAACGGGUGAGUAACACGUGAGUAACCUGCCCUUGACUUUGUGAUAACUUCAGGUAACUGCGGCGACUACCGGUUAGGAUCUCCUUCUGCAUGGUGGGGGUUGGGAGGUUUCGGCGGUUGGGGAUGGAAUGGGGGCUUGUCCGAUUGUUGUGUGGGUGGUGGCUUACCAUGGCUUGGCGGGGAAGGCGGCCUGGGCGGGUGGACGGCCACAUUGCGCCUGAGCUACGGCCCAGAAGCCUACGGGAGGCAGGCGUGGGGAGUAUUACACAGUGGGCGCAAGGCUGAGGGGGCAACGCCGGGUGCGGGAUGACGGCCUUCGGGUUGUGAACCGCUUUCGCCUGUGACGAAGCGGGAGUGACGGUACUGGGUAAAGAAGCACCGGCUAACUACGUG